GCGAGCUUCUACGGAAGCGAAGUUGGUGACGUCAAGCUUCCAAGAAAAGCCCUAUACCCGUUAAGGCAUGAUUACCUGUACCCGAAACCGACACAGGUGGGGUGGUAGAGAAUACCGAGGGGCGCGAGGUAACUCUCUCUAAGGAACUCGGCAAAAUGACCCCGUAACUUCGGGAGAAGGGGUGCCAGCGCGAGCUGGUCGCAGUGAAUAGGCCCAGGCGACUGUUUACCAAAAACACAGGUCUCCGCUAAGUCGCAAGACGAUGUAUGGGGGCUGACGCCUGCCCAGUGCCGGAAGGUUAAAGAAGUUGGUCAGCGCAAGCGAAGCUAACGACUGAAGCCCCGGUGAACGGCGGCCGUAACGAUAACGGUCCUAAGGUAGCGAAAUUCCUUGUCGGGUAAGUUCCGACCCGCACGAAAGGCGUAACGAUCUGGGCGCUGUCUCGGAGAGAGGCUCGGCGAAAUAGAAUUGUCUGUGAAGAUGCGGACUACGUGCACCCGGACAGAAAGACCCUAUGAAGCUUUACUGUAGCUUGGUAUUGUGCUCGGGCUCGCAAUGCGCAGGAUAGGUGGGAGGCUUUGAUCCAUUGCUUGUGGGUGAUGGUGAGCCACUGGUGAGAUACCACUCCUUGCGAGCUAGGGUUCUAACGGUUACCCGUCAUCCGGGAACCGGACAGUAUCUGGUGGGCAGUUUGACUGGGGCGGUCGCCUCCUAAAAGGUAACGGAGGCGCGCAAAGGUUUGCUCAGGCUGGUUGGAAAUCAGCCGACGAGUGUAAAAGCAGAAGCAAGCUUGACUGUGAGACCUACAAGUCGAACAGGUAGGAAACUCGGCUUUAGUGAUCCGACGGUUCUGAGUGGAAGGGCCGUCGCUCAACGGAUAAAAGUUACUCUAAGGAUAACAGGCUGAUCUCCCCCAAGAGUUCACAUCGACGGGGAGGUUUGGCACCUCGAUGUCGGCUCAUCGCAACCUGGGGCUGAAGUCGGUCCCAAGGGUUGGGCUGUUCGCCCAUUAAAGCGGUACGCGAGCUGGGUUCAGAACGUCGUGAGACAGUUCGGUCCAUAUCCGGUGCAUGCGCAGGAAUAUUGAGAGGAUUUCUCCCUAGUACGAGAGGACCGGGAGGAACGCACCUCUGGUGUACCAGUUAUCGUGCCAACGGUAAACGCUGGGUAGCCAUGUGCGGAGUGGAUAACCGCUGAAAGCAUCUAAGUGGGAAGCCCACCUCAAGAUGAGUAUUCCCAUGGCUUAAGCCAGUAAGGUCACGGGAAGAACACCCGUUGAUAGGCUCUAUGUGGAAGCGCAGUAAUGCGUGAAGCAGAGGAGUACUAAUAGACCGAGGGCUUGA
This 1343-nucleotide ribosomal RNA is filed under the name metagenome. Its description in RNAcentral is "bacterial LSU rRNA". It matches the Rfam family "Bacterial large subunit ribosomal RNA", at positions 1569 to 2925 of the family's 2925-position model. The record is from RNAcentral.